Long non-coding RNA from Gallus gallus (chicken), 4128 nucleotides. RefSeq lists it as uncharacterized. The transcript has 2 exons. The record is from RefSeq and is a predicted model, not a curated record. NCBI's taxonomy places the organism in Eukaryota, Metazoa, Chordata, Aves, Galliformes, Phasianidae.
CCGCCUGCAGCUCCCGGUGCCACCUGUGCCCACAGCACGGUUCCAUGGGCACCUGCUCUUCUCAUGCAGAAAUGCCUCGAAAGCGUAAUGAAACCUUUUCUACAGGUUUGUUUGUCUUCCACGGUGGUUUCGGGCCAAUGUAAAUCAAUGGAAAAAAAAAGUCACAGCUCAGAAGAGCAGCGUGGAAACUUCCAUCACAGAGCUGUCAGAGUGAGCAUCUGGAGCAGCCAGGAAUAAUAUUUAACUUUCUGUUGAGCCGUUAUGAGAUGGACACAGCGAGCACAGCCAAGCUGAGCAUCUGAUAGCGCGGCGCUGCUGAUGGGUCGGGGCUGACUGAGGGCAGGGAGAAAUGCCACGGGGCACCGGGGGGAACGGUCUACAAAUGGGAGAGCUUUCAGAAAGGGCUGCUUUGGCUCAGCCAGACGCUGCCACCAUCACUUCAUGCACUGCCUGCACGGCUCCUUUCCCUUGGGAAAACACGGCAAACCGUCCUUCCAACCCGCCGUGCUGCGGUCCUUCCAGGAGAUGGAAAGCACCUCAAUCCCAGCGCCUGCUGAGGGCUGUCUGCAGUGUCUGUAUGGAGAGCGGCCUGCAGGGCUGGAUCAGCCAUCUGUUUUGAUUUCUCAUUCUAACAAAAGUGGGGAGAGCUGAUUGUAACGGCACAGGCGCAGCUCCCGCAAUGGGGCUGAGGGGCAGGCAGGGUGUCGGUGCCGGGUGGGCUCAGCCCUGUGCUGAGCACUCACUGCAGCCCUGGGACGUGCCAUGGCACAUGGCUCCGCUUCUGCUUUAGAGAGGGAUGGAAAAUCUUUACCUCAUUUGCUAAAAGCACUUCACUGACUUUAAAUGGGGGGGGGGAAGGGAUUAAACAUAUCACUAAUUUGUCUCAUUUAAUUCAGUCAGCAGGACUGAAAGCACUGCUCUGUGUUGAGGCUCAGAGCAUUGAUUACUCCAUGUUCUGCCCCUGUUUCUCUUCCAUUUCACUCCUGUGUUCUCUUUUCAUUUCUUGCCGUGAGCACCACACAGACAAGCUGCAGUUGGACAGAGCACAUGUGGGACAAUCGCUGCCUCCACCAAAGCACUGAAUCGUUGCCUCCAACGAAGUAAAGGACGAACUGCCCUCAGUAUUUCUCAGCACUCAGCCGAAGGACCAUCGGGAGAGGCAGGAUUCCACCGGAGUGCUCUCAUGAAGUGCUGAGGUCCCGGAGGGGCUCAGGCACACAGCAGGCAUUGCUGCGCUCAGCAUCACUGCAGUCACUGCGGCGGUCCCCGCACUCACAUGGCCUCGUGGCUCCAAUCCCCGACCCCCGAUGGACAAAAGCACCCCGACGCCCCACACCCCGCACGGCCGGGGCUCUGCGCCCGGGCUGGGGCGGGUGUGGGGCACAGCGGUGCGACCCCCCGAUCCCAGCAGGACCGCCUGACGCACCGAGCUGGGAAGUGUGCGCACGGAUAUCCACCCACGCUUAUUUCUGACUUUAGAGGGAAAUCAGCACGCACAGUGACGCGAAGUAGCACGGAAAGGUCAUUUAAAGGCACUGUCACACGCGGUCCACAGACAUCAGUUCUCUCGAUCUCCUGUCGGCACCCACAGUUCCCGAGUGCCGCACGUCAGCCCGGAGAUGGGGCCACGGAACCGCAGAGCUCCGCCGUGCGUUACCACUCGGAGCGCCGCGACCGCCGGGCGCCCCUCCCCGCCCCUCCCGACGUCCCGACGCGCCGCUCCGAGCUCCGCCCGUGGCCGCUCCGAGCUCCGCGGUGUUGGCGGGCGCUGCCCUCUGGCGGCCGCGGGGCUGCGCGGACCUCCGGCUGAGCGGGGAUCGCCGACGGCGCUUCUGCUGAUACCGCGGAAUCCGCAGCUGAAGUUGCGCUUAAACCCCCGCGUGCCCGCAUGGAGCCCCGCGCAGCUGCACGGCUCCCACCCGGGACGGAGCUGCGGGGCGAGCACAGCGCAGAAGUUCCGCUCCGGUCCCGCACUGCAUUCCCGGUAGCCGUUGGCAGAGCCGCGCGUGUCCGCGCAGCACCGCGAGCCCACGCAGUGCCCCUCUCAAACAGCAGCCGCCGUCUCCGCUCCCCUGCCAAAGCAGCUCUCUCCAUUUCAAGAUAAUCUCGUACUGAUUGACGGACGUUAACGAGCUAAACGGCUUAGAGCGGCUCAGAGUUCAGUGCUGGGGAACGCGCCGUAGCAGCAACAGAUGCAGUCGUGAUCACCCCAAACGCUCCCAGCACAGCCCCGUGCAGCUCCAGGCGGUCACAUCACCGCCGUGCCCGGGGACACGGACGAGCCACGGCUGUGGGGCACGCGCGGAUUCUCCUCGCCCAGGAAGGGACGCUGCUCAGCCCGGCACGCCGUGCCCACGUGGCGGCCCAUAAGGACGUCCCCCACACCCCUGCGGGCUGAGCAUGGCGCUUGUAAGCGUUUGCAUCUGCAUCCCAAUUAAACGUUCCCUGCCUCCCCUAUUUAUGGACUUACUGUCUUCUUCACACAGCUCUGCAGCGUUUCCAUUGGCAGGACAGCACGUCUCACUGGGCUGAAACUGAGAGCAGAGCGCAGCGCGAGCAACAGAACCUCCCCUGGAGGCGAGGACAGCGCAGCCCAGCACGAGUACCAGCAUCCCUGCCCAUCCCGGCGGCACCCACCUCCCCACCUGCACUCUCAUCCCUGGAGGUUCAGUGUGGGGACCCUCCGGGCAAAGACUUGUUCCCAUUCGGGGAUGCUCCUGUUGGGUUUGCAGAAAGGCAUUUUAAAUGAAAGACAAACAGGACGAGCCCACCUCCAAGCAGUGGCUCCAUCUACAUGGCAUCAUCAGCGCACAGGACAGAGGACCCAACCGCUCUAGCUGACGGCAUCGCACCAUACGUUACAGAGACAACACCCACGGGGAGGACAACGACCGCGACGAGGGACGGCCCGCAGCAGUUCCUGAGGUUUCCUGACGGAACCGAAGCGCAGCACAGCACGCAGCCCGGCGCCGGGAGCCCCUCAGCCUCGGGACGGCCGGUGCCGCACCGCGAAAACCACAGCGCUGCCGUUCGGAACGCAGUCCGGCAUUAGCAGAGGGGCGCCGCAGGACGGGAGACGCGUGGCCAUCGCUGCCCCACGGCCGGGCCGAGGGCAUCCCAUAGCGCUGCUCGCUCGGCCGGCCGCGGCCCUGGGACGGGCUCAGCGCCGGGGGCUGCAGGCGCCGGGGCGGCACCGGCUCUGCACGGCAGAGAACCUCUCGAGGGCGGCCCCACCUCCCGCAGGCCGCGCCCGGCGCUCAGCAGGAACGGCCCCCCGGCCCGCACCGCCUGCAGGAUGCGGCCAACUGCCCCGGCGCUGAGUGAGCCUACGGUCCUCGAGCCUCGGAGGAGGUACCGAGGAGCAGGACAGUCACUCACGGAACGUGAGCGGGUUCCGGUUAUGAUACUCCCACCACGUGGUUAAAUUCUGCGCCAAGUUACAGAAAAAUACAUUUCCUCCCUAAAUUUACAGUAGUUAAAACUACGAUUGGAAUACCGUACGAAAAAGGGGCUGCUCACUCUUCAACAGAACGGCUCGGCUUCCUUUCGUUAAAAAAAUUAACUCAUCGGCAGUACUUGGAAAGCAAUCCAUCAGCCACAGCACGGCCAAACUGUACAGAGGAGAUGGGGACGCGGCUCCGAGGACAUCCAUUCCAAGCAUUUGUUCCGGUGCUCAAAAAGGCACUUAAAGUUAAGAAAACAAUUGCAUUGAAAACCCACAACAAAACAGAAGAAAACCAAAGGCAAUAAUUUAAUAGAAAAACACUGGCAUUUGUACCGCAUCUUCCAAAGGCAGGAAAGAAACCAAAGCCAACGAGCGCGGUUUGCUCUCAACUCGUCGCUGAAAGUAUACAAAGAACCAAAGGAAGAAUCCAGAAGAGCGAAGUGGAUGUUCUGCGGGAGCCGCACGGAGGCGCGGCCGGCGGGGGCUGCACAGCUCCGAGCGCUGCGGGCCCCUCCCGCACAGCCCCUCCCGCACAGCCCCUCCCGCACAGCCCCUCCCGCACAGCGCGGCCGCGGGGCCCAACCGCACCGCCGGGCAUCCGCACGGGUGGGAGGGAACGACCGCGGAGAAAAAUCAACACCCAUAGGAACUAAUGGCGGUCAUUACAAACGUCACCUAUGUAA